RNAcentral lists this ribosomal RNA (440 nucleotides) under uncultured bacterium. RNAcentral describes it as "bacterial SSU rRNA". It matches the Rfam family "Bacterial small subunit ribosomal RNA", at positions 338 to 770 of the family's 1533-position model. The record is from RNAcentral.
CCUACGGGAGGCAGCAGUGGGGAAUAUUGCGCAAUGGGGGAAACCCUGACGCAGCCAUGCCGCGUGUGUGAAGAAGGCUCUAGGGUUGUAAAGCACUUUCACUUGGGAGGAAAAGCCAGGGGCUAAUACCUUUUGGUGUUGACGUUACCUUGAGAAGAAGCACCGGCUAACUCCGUGCCAGCAGCCGCGGUAAUACGGAGGGUGCAAGCGUUAAUCGGAAUUACUGGGCGUAAAGCGCGCGUAGGCGGUCUGUUAAGUCAGCUGUGAAAGCCCUGGGCUCAACCUGGGAACUGCAGUUGAUACUGGCAGACUUGAAUGCGGGAGAGGGAGGUAGAAUUCCAUGUGUAGCGGUGAAAUGCGUAGAUAUAUGGAGGAAUACCAGUGGCGAAGGCGGCCUCCUGGCCUGACAUUGACGCUGAGGUGCGAAAGCGUGGGGAGCA